AGCGAGCCGCGGUAACACCGGCGGCCCGAGUGGUGAUCGUGAUUAUUGGGUCUAAAGGGUCCGUAGCCGGUUGGUCAGUCCUCCGGGAAAUCUGAUAGCUCAACUAUUAGGCUUUCGGGGGAUACUGCCAGACUUGGAACCGGGAGAGGUAAGAGGUACUACAGGGGUAGGAGUGAAAUCUUGUAAUCCCUGUGGGACCACCGUGUGGCGAAGGCGUCUUACCAGAACGGGUUCGACGGUGAGGGACGAAAGCUGGGGGCACGAACCGGAUUAGAUACCCGGGUAGUCCCAGCCGUAAACGAUGCUCGCUAGGUGUCAGGCAUGGCGCGACCGUGUCUGGUGCCGCAGGGAAGCCGUGAAGCGAGCCACCUGGGAAGUACGGCCGCAAGGCUGAAACUUAAAGGAAUUGGCGGGGGAGCACAACAACGGGUGGAGCCCUGCGGUUUAAUUGGACUCAACGCCGGACAACUCACCGGGGGCGACAGCAAUAUGUAGGCCAAGCUGAAGACUUUGCCUGAAUCGCUGAGAGGUGGUGCAUGG
RNAcentral lists this ribosomal RNA (540 nucleotides) under uncultured archaeon. RNAcentral's name for it is "bacterial SSU rRNA". It matches the Rfam family "Archaeal small subunit ribosomal RNA", at positions 460 to 997 of the family's 1478-position model. The record is from RNAcentral.